AUACGGAGGGUGCGAGCGUUAAUCGGAAUUACAGGGCGUAAAGCGCGCGUAGGCGGUUUGUUAAGUCGGAUGUGAAAUCCCCGGGCUCAACCUGGGACCUGCAUCCGAUACUGGCAGGCUAGAGUCUGGUAGAGGGGGGUAGAAUUCCUGGUGUAGCGGUGAAAUGCGUAGAUAUCAGGAGGAAUACCAGUGGCGAAGGCGGCCCCCUGGACUGAGACUGACGCUGAGGUGCGAAAGCGUGGGGAGCAAACAGGAUUAGAAACCCUAGUAGUCC
This 274-nucleotide ribosomal RNA is filed under the name uncultured bacterium. RNAcentral describes it as "partial 16S ribosomal RNA". It matches the Rfam family "Bacterial small subunit ribosomal RNA", at positions 523 to 796 of the family's 1533-position model. The record is from RNAcentral.